RNAcentral lists this ribosomal RNA (2692 nucleotides) under Escherichia coli. RNAcentral describes it as "23S ribosomal RNA". It matches the Rfam family "Bacterial large subunit ribosomal RNA". Lineage: Bacteria; Pseudomonadati; Pseudomonadota; Gammaproteobacteria; Enterobacterales; Enterobacteriaceae. The record is from RNAcentral.
AUAACCGGCGAUUUCCGAAUGGGGAAACCCAGUGUGUUUCGACACACUAUCAUUAACUGAAUCCAUAGGUUAAUGAGGCGAACCGGGGGAACUGAAACAUCUAAGUACCCCGAGGAAAAGAAAUCAACCGAGAUUCCCCCAGUAGCGGCGAGCGAACGGGGAGGAGCCCAGAGCCUGAAUCAGUGUGUGUGUUAGUGGAAGCGUCUGGAAAGGCGCGCGAUACAGGGUGACAGCCCCGUACACAAAAAUGCACAUAUUGUGAGCUCGAUGAGUAGGGCGGGACACGUGGUAUCCUGUCUGAAUAUGGGGGGACCAUCCUCCAAGGCUAAAUACUCCUGACUGACCGAUAGUGAACCAGUACCGUGAGGGAAAGGCGAAAAGAACCCCGGCGAGGGGAGUGAAAAAGAACCUGAAACCGUGUACGUACAAGCAGUGGGAGCCUCUUUAUGGGGUGACUGCGUACCUUUUGUAUAAUGGGUCAGCGACUUAUAUUCUGUAGCAAGGUUAACCGAAUAGGGGAGCCGAAGGGAAACCGAGUCUUAACUGGGCGUUAAGUUGCAGGGUAUAGACCCGAAACCCGGUGAUCUAGCCAUGGGCAGGUUGAAGGUUGGGUAACACUAACUGGAGGACCGAACCGACUAAUGUUGAAAAAUUAGCGGAUGACUUGUGGCUGGGGGUGAAAGGCCAAUCAAACCGGGAGAUAGCUGGUUCUCCCCGAAAGCUAUUUAGGUAGCGCCUCGUGAAUUCAUCUCCGGGGGUAGAGCACUGUUUCGGCAAGGGGGUCAUCCCGACUUACCAACCCGAUGCAAACUGCGAAUACCGGAGAAUGUUAUCACGGGAGACACACGGCGGGUGCUAACGUCCGUCGUGAAGAGGGAAACAACCCAGACCGCCAGCUAAGGUCCCAAAGUCAUGGUUAAGUGGGAAACGAUGUGGGAAGGCCCAGACAGCCAGGAUGUUGGCUUAGAAGCAGCCAUCAUUUAAAGAAAGCGUAAUAGCUCACUGGUCGAGUCGGCCUGCGCGGAAGAUGUAACGGGGCUAAACCAUGCACCGAAGCUGCGGCAGCGACACUAUGUGUUGUUGGGUAGGGGAGCGUUCUGUAAGCCUGUGAAGGUGGCCUGUGAGGGUUGCUGGAGGUAUCAGAAGUGCGAAUGCUGACAUAAGUAACGAUAAAGCGGGUGAAAAGCCCGCUCGCCGGAAGACCAAGGGUUCCUGUCCAACGUUAAUCGGGGCAGGGUGAGUCGACCCCUAAGGCGAGGCCGAAAGGCGUAGUCGAUGGGAAACAGGUUAAUAUUCCUGUACUUGGUGUUACUGCGAAGGGGGGACGGAGAAGGCUAUGUUGGCCGGGCGACGGUUGUCCCGGUUUAAGCGUGUAGGCUGGUUUUCCAGGCAAAUCCGGAAAACCAAGGCUGAGGCGUGAUGACGAGGCACUACGGUGCUGAAGCGACAAAUGCCCUGCUUCCAGGAAAAGCCUCUAAGCAUCAGGUAACAUCAAAUCGUACCCCAAACCGACACAGGUGGUCAGGUAGAGAAUACCAAGGCGCUUGAGAGAACUCGGGUGAAGGAACUAGGCAAAAUGGUGCCGUAACUUCGGGAGAAGGCACGCUGAUAUGUAGGUGAAGCGACUUGCUCGUGGAGCUGAAAUCAGUCGAAGAUACCAGCUGGCUGCAACUGUUUAUUAAAAACACAGCACUGUGCAAACACGAAAGUGGACGUAUACGGUGUGACGCCUGCCCGGUGCCGGAAGGUUAAUUGAUGGGGUUAGCGGUAACGCGAAGCUCUUGAUCGAAGCCCCGGUAAACGGCGGCCGUAACUAUAACGGUCCUAAGGUAGCGAAAUUCCUUGUCGGGUAAGUUCCGACCUGCACGAAUGGCGUAAUGAUGGCCAGGCUGUCUCCACCCGAGACUCAGUGAAAUUGAACUCGCUGUGAAGAUGCAGUGUACCCGCGGCAAGACGGAAAGACCCCGUGAACCUUUACUAUAGCUUGACACUGAACAUUGAGCCUUGAUGUGUAGGAUAGGUGGGAGGCUUUGAAGUGUGGACGCCAGUCUGCAUGGAGCCGACCUUGAAAUACCACCCUUUAAUGUUUGAUGUUCUAACGUUGGCCCGUAAUCCGGGUUGCGGACAGUGUCUGGUGGGUAGUUUGACUGGGGCGGUCUCCUCCUAAAGAGUAACGGAGGAGCACGAAGGUUGGCUAAUCCUGGUCGGACAUCAGGAGGUUAGUGCAAUGGCAUAAGCCAGCUUGACUGCGAGCGUGACGGCGCGAGCAGGUGCGAAAGCAGGUCAUAGUGAUCCGGUGGUUCUGAAUGGAAGGGCCAUCGCUCAACGGAUAAAAGGUACUCCGGGGAUAACAGGCUGAUACCGCCCAAGAGUUCAUAUCGACGGCGGUGUUUGGCACCUCGAUGUCGGCUCAUCACAUCCUGGGGCUGAAGUAGGUCCCAAGGGUAUGGCUGUUCGCCAUUUAAAGUGGUACGCGAGCUGGGUUUAGAACGUCGUGAGACAGUUCGGUCCCUAUCUGCCGUGGGCGCUGGAGAACUGAGGGGGGCUGCUCCUAGUACGAGAGGACCGGAGUGGACGCAUCACUGGUGUUCGGGUUGUCAUGCCAAUGGCACUGCCCGGUAGCUAAAUGCGGAAGAGAUAAGUGCUGAAAGCAUCUAAGCACGAAACUUGCCCCGAGAUGAGUUCUCCCUGA